This 91-nucleotide microRNA precursor is filed under the name Canis lupus familiaris (dog). Its description in RNAcentral is "mir-8799 microRNA precursor family". It matches the Rfam family "mir-8799 microRNA precursor family". The record is from Rfam by way of RNAcentral. Lineage: Eukaryota; Metazoa; Chordata; Mammalia; Carnivora; Canidae.
GGGGGAGCGCCGGAUCCUUGUCUGUGUCCCCAGCGCCCUUGGCUCCAGGGCCUGCACCGCUGGAAUCGCGCUGCCAGGACCACAGUCCCCU